Molecule: small RNA, 117 nt
Filed under: Arabidopsis thaliana (thale cress)
Lineage: Eukaryota; Viridiplantae; Streptophyta; Magnoliopsida; Brassicales; Brassicaceae
Description: ATSL170560
Source: RNAcentral
UUUUUCUCUAGGUUGCACAAUAAGAUCACAAUGCUAUUAUCUAGAUGAUCUAUUCCGUCUUCCGUAAGAGUCUGUGUGCAAAGAUCACGAAAGAAAGUUCCAAUACCUGCAUUCAUA